CCUACGGGAGGCAGCAGUGGGGAAUAUUGGGCAAUGGGCGCAACCCUGAACCAGCAACGCCGCGUGAGGGAUGAAGGCUUUCGGGUUGUAAACUCCUUUUGUUAGGGAAGAUAAUGACGGUAUCCAACUAGUAUGCACCGGCUAACUCCGUGCCCGCAGCCGCGGUAAUACGAAGGGGGCAAGCGUUAUUCGGAGUGACUGGGAGUAAAGAGCGCGUAGGCGGGAUAGCAAGUCAGAUGUGAAAUCCUCUGGCUGAAACGUAGAACUGCAUUUGAAACUGUUAUUCUAGAGUAUGGGAGAGGUAGGUGGAAUUCUUGGUGUAGCGGUAAAAUGCGUAGAGAUCAAGAAGAACACCAAUUGCGAAGGCGACUUGCUGGAACACAACUGACGCUGAGGCGCGAAAGCGUGGGGAGCAAACAGGAUUAGAUACCCUAGUAGUC
RNAcentral lists this ribosomal RNA (440 nucleotides) under uncultured bacterium. Its description in RNAcentral is "partial 16S ribosomal RNA". It matches the Rfam family "Bacterial small subunit ribosomal RNA", at positions 338 to 795 of the family's 1533-position model. The record is from RNAcentral.